Molecule: ribosomal RNA, 497 nt
Filed under: uncultured bacterium
Lineage: Bacteria
Description: partial 16S ribosomal RNA
Rfam family: Bacterial small subunit ribosomal RNA
Source: RNAcentral
GAUGAACGCUGGCGGCGUGCCUAAUACAUGCAAGUCGAGCGAACGGACGAGAAGCUUGCUUCUCUGAUGUUAGCGGCGGACGGGUGAGUAACACGUGGAUAACCUACCUAUAAGACUGGGAUAACUUCGGGAAACCGGAGCUAAUACCGGAUAAUAUUUUGAACCGCAUGGUUCAAAAGUGAAAGACGGUCUUGCUGUCACUUAUAGAUGGAUCCGCGCUGCAUUAGCUAGUUGGUAAGGUAACGGCUUACCAAGGCAACGAUGCAUAGCCGACCUGAGAGAGUGAUCGGCCACACUGGAACUGAGACACGGUCCAUACUCCUACGGGAGGCAGCAGUAGGGAAUCUUCCGCAAUGGGCGCAAGCCUGACGGAGCAACGCCGCGUGAGUGAUGAAGGUCUUCGGAUCGUAAAACUCUGUUAUUAGGGAAGAACAUAUGUGUAAGUAACUGUGCACAUCUUGACGGUACCUAAUCAGAAAGCCACGGCUAACUACGUG